GGCAACCUGCUCAGUUUCUCUCUGCAGUGUGGAAGGUUUGUUCUUUUGCUGUUUGCGGUAAAUCUUGCUGCUGCUCACUGUUUUGGUUUGCAUUCCCUUUAUGAGCUGUGACACUCACCGCAAAGGUCUGCAGUUUCACUCCUGAGGCCAGUGCGACCACGAACCCACAGGGAGGAAUGAACAACUCCCGACAGGAGGAAUGAACAAUUCCAGACGCGCGCCGCCUUAAGAGCUGUAACACUCACCACGAAAGUCUGCAGCUUCACUCCUGAAGCUAGCAAGACCACGAACCCACUAGAAGGAAAAAACUCUGAACGCGUCUGAACAUCAGAAGGAGAAAACUUCGGACACACCGUCUUUAAGAACUGGAACACUUAUACCAUGAGGGUCUGCGGCUUCAUUCUUGAGCCAUUCAACAUAGUGCAUCAGAAGUGAUCUUUCAACACAUCCAGUACAUGAAUAAAUGAAAAACGCAAGUUACAAAACAUUACAGAGGUAAAAUCAUAAAUAUAGUCCCUGAAUUUCAUGGCCACCUGACCUUCACAUGAAGCUCAUAUUAAAGCCAU
Molecule: long non-coding RNA, 566 nt
Organism: Homo sapiens (human)
Lineage: Eukaryota; Metazoa; Chordata; Mammalia; Primates; Hominidae
Product: long intergenic non-protein coding RNA 1947
Source: Ensembl